AGAAUCAACGCUGGCGGCGUGCCUAACACAUGCAAGUCGAACGAGAAAGUGGAGCAAUCCAUGAGUACAGUGGCGCACGGGUGAGUAACACGUGACUAACCUACCCUUGAGUGGGGAAUAACCUGGAGAAAUCUAGGCUAAUACCGCAUAACACCUACGGGUCAAAGGAGCAAUUCGCUUAAGGAGGGGGUCGCGGCAGAUUAGCUAGUUGGCGGGGUAAUGGCCCACCAAGGCAGUGAUCUGUAUCCGGCCUGAGAGGGCGCACGGACACACUGGAACUGAAACACGGUCCAGACUCCUACGGGAGGCAGCAGUGGGGAAUUUUGCGCAAUGGGGGAAACCCUGACGCAGCAACGCCGCGUGGAGGAUGAAGUCCCUUGGGACGUAAACUCCUUUCGACCGGGAAGAUAAUGACGGUACCGGAAGAAGAAGCCCCGGCUAACUUCGUGCCAGCAGCCGC
This 460-nucleotide ribosomal RNA is filed under the name uncultured bacterium. RNAcentral's name for it is "SSU rRNA". It matches the Rfam family "Bacterial small subunit ribosomal RNA", at positions 26 to 518 of the family's 1533-position model. The record is from RNAcentral.